UCGAGCGGCAGCGACAACAUUGACCCUUCGGGUGAUUUGUUGGGCGGCGAGCGGCGGACGGGUGAGUAAUGCCUGGGAAUAUGCCCUGAUGUGGGGGAUAACCAUUGGAAACGAUGGCUAAUACCGCAUAAUCUCUUCGGAGCAAAGAGGGGGACCUUCGGGCCUCUCGCGUCAGGAUUAGCCCAGGUGAGAUUAGCUUGUUGGUGAGGUAAGAGCUCACCAAGGCAACGAUCUCUAGCUGGUCUGAGAGGAUGAUCAGCCACACUGGAACUGAGACACGGUCCAGACUCCUACGGGAGGCAGCAGUGGGGAAUAUUGCACAAUGGGGGAAACCCUGAUGCAGCCAUGCCGCGUGUAUGAAGAAGGCCUUCGGGUUGUAAAGUACUUUCAGUUGUGAGGAAGGCGUUGUCGUUAAUAGCGGCAGUGUUUGACGUUAGCAACAGAAGAAGCACCGGCUAACUCCGUGCCAGCAGCCGCGGUAAUACGGAGGGUGCGAGCGUUAAUCGGAAUUACUGGGCGUAAAGCGCAUGCAGGCGGCUUGUUAAGCCAGAUGUGAAAGCCCGGGGCUCAACCUCGGAAUAGCAUUUGGAACUGGCAGGCUAGAGUCUUGUAGAGGGGGGUAGAAUUUCAGGUGUAGCGGUGAAAUGCGUAGAGAUCUGAAGGAAUACCGGUGGCGAAGGCGGCCCCCUGGACAAAGACUGACGCUCAGAUGCGAAAUCGUGGGGAGCAAAA
RNAcentral lists this ribosomal RNA (732 nucleotides) under Photobacterium sp. D245. RNAcentral's name for it is "bacterial SSU rRNA". It matches the Rfam family "Bacterial small subunit ribosomal RNA", at positions 62 to 773 of the family's 1533-position model. Lineage: Bacteria; Pseudomonadati; Pseudomonadota; Gammaproteobacteria; Vibrionales; Vibrionaceae. The record is from RNAcentral.